CCAGCCGGCGAGCCCCGGCGUGCGCGGGCCGGGCGCACGGAGCGGGAAAUGCGGCCGCAUCCCGGAGGUGCGGGCCGGGGACCUCCGCCCUCCCCGGCGGAAGCCCGAGGGGGUCUCGGUGUCCUCAAGCGGCAGCUGAGGCCAACCUCUGCGCGCAGGACCGCGAAGCCGGGCAGCCGCGUCGGCUCCUGCGGGGUGUUGUCUUUCGUUAGUUACUCCCGAGCUUUCCCGCUUCCCAGCCCGGUGAAUACCGCCUGCCCUUCUCAGAAGAGCAGCCUGACGGUGGCUCCGGCACGCGCUGCAGUCCUGCGUUUGCGCCGCUAGGAGGAGAGCCCCUCGGGUUUGGGCCCGAGCGAAGCUUGGCCGCGUUUGCAGCCCUCGAGGGAAACUGCCCAGUCCUGAGGGCCAGGCGAAAAGCCUCCAGCUUAUGAUGCCGGGAACGGACCGCCUGGGUUUCCACCCCCCUGCCCCCCGCUUCUCAAUUCUGUAAAUAUUUAUUCUGCAUGUGUUCCAGACCUGGCCGUCGUCCUCCCAGAACUCACAGCCCCCGGAGCAAACAGCAGUGACCUGAAGAUUCCAGGAUUCACCAAAUCCAUUCAGACUUCACAACAGUGUGACCACGUCUCUCAGCCUUUGAUAUGACUCUGGACAGCCAAAACUAGACAUGUCUCUUCUGGUAGCAGUAGAUACUCUUCCUUGAUUUCAAGUUCCUUACUGAUUCCCUUCUUUCUCUCUCAGUCCCUCCCUGAGCUCCUCAGUCCGAGGACCGGAAGGGUAUGUGUAGAACAGACAUUCAACACCCUUCGGGUAAAGAGGGUUGUCGUUGAUGAUUUUAGUUCUGCUCACAUUUGGUAAUUCAGAAACCUUUCUAAUCCACAGAAUAGUGCUUUUGUCACAGAAUUUUAAACGAAUGAACUAAGUUAUGAACUAAAUUACAAUUAUGAAACGUAGAUGUCCUAAACUUUAAUACAUUUGCUUUUUAUAUGCUGA
Felis catus (domestic cat) is the source of this 990-nucleotide long non-coding RNA. RefSeq lists it as uncharacterized. NCBI's taxonomy places the organism in Eukaryota, Metazoa, Chordata, Mammalia, Carnivora, Felidae. The transcript is spliced from 3 exons. The record is from RefSeq and is a predicted model, not a curated record.